UGAGGAAUAUUGGUCAAUGGUCGGGAGACUGAACCAGCCAAGCCGCGUGAGGGAUGAAGGUACAGAGUAUCGUAAACCUCUUUUGUCAGGGAACAAAAGGCGCCACGCGUGGCGCUCCGAGUGUACCUGAAGAAAAGCAUCGGCUAACUCCGUGCCAGCAGCCGCGGUAAUACGGAGGAUGCGAGCGUUAUCCGGAUUUAUUGGGUUUAAAGGGUGCGUAGGCGGCGAGUUAAGUCAGUGGUAAAAGCCCGGGGCUCAACCCCGGCCCGCCGUUGAAACUGGCUUGCUUGAGUUGGAGAGAAGUAGGCGGAAUGCGCGGUGUAGCGGUGAAAUGCUUAGAUAUCGCGCAGAACUCCGAUUGCGAAGGCAGCCUACCGGCUCCAGACUGACGCUGAGGCACGAAAGCGUGGGUAUCGAACAGGAUUAGAUACC
RNAcentral lists this ribosomal RNA (432 nucleotides) under uncultured bacterium. Its description in RNAcentral is "bacterial SSU rRNA". It matches the Rfam family "Bacterial small subunit ribosomal RNA", at positions 355 to 786 of the family's 1533-position model. The record is from RNAcentral.